Molecule: long non-coding RNA, 780 nt
Organism: Dipodomys spectabilis (banner-tailed kangaroo rat)
Lineage: Eukaryota; Metazoa; Chordata; Mammalia; Rodentia; Heteromyidae
Exons: 3
Source: RefSeq, a predicted model, not a curated record
UACACUGGAAGCUCAGUCUGCCUCACUCAUCAAAAUAUUUACUUAGGUGACAUGUACAAUAUCCAAUUCCUUAUCAGGUCUUACACUUUUAGUUUUCCCUGUGUUCCUUUCCUAGGGUCAGCAACCCUAUUUAAACAUGUGACCAGUGGGAUCAGCGCGCCCCAGAUGACCCUCUCAGGCAGAGGCUUUGCUUAGUUACAGUGAUAUCACAAAAACUCAUAACGGAGGGAAUGGUGUGCAACUCACAGCAUAUGCUGGCAACAGCUGUCUUUUAUUACACAUUAUCUAAUAUGAGAAGUCUAGGUUUAGCAAUUUGGCAGUCUUGCAAACUACACAUUCAGUUCUGACUGUUGAAUACAUAAAGCUCCUUAACUCCUCACUAGCUACUAAUCUAGUGAUGCCUGGGGUUGAAUUUAGAAUGGCUCUUCUGCUUUUAGUCAAGUGACUUGAAAGAUGAGGUAUUAAUAUUCAAAAUGCAAUGUCUCUUGUGAUUCACAGGUCUCCCUUUAAGGGGGAAACCAAGACCAAAUACUGCAGCUGUCUGUUUGCAAACCAGAGAAAGAAACUGCAAUGAGCCAGCUAGCUAUCCACUCUGUGAGCUCAGAGAUCAAUGCUGUGGCCACUUCUGAUCUUUCAAUUGAGAACGAACCUAUUCUACUUGGACUAUAUUGUAUACCACUGUUUCCCAAUAUUGCCUCAGUCUACCUUCUAUCUUUAAGUUUGUACCUUGCAUCUUACAGUGUAACCCCCGCUUUCACUAUAUUUGAUGUCAGUAUAACA